UACGGGGGGAGCAAGCGUUGUUCGGAUUUACUGGGCGUAAAGGGCGCGUAGGCGGCCACCGCAAGUCGACUGUGAAAUCUCCGGGCUUAACCCGGAAAGGUCAGCCGAUACUGCAGGGCUAGAGUGCAGAAGGGGCAACUGAAAUUCUCGGUGUAGCGGUGAAAUGCGUAGAUAUCGAGAGGAACACCUGCGGCGAAGGCGGGUUGCUGGGCUGACACUGACGCUGAGGCGCGAAAGCUAGGGGAGCGAACGGG
Molecule: ribosomal RNA, 254 nt
Filed under: uncultured bacterium
Lineage: Bacteria
Description: partial 16S ribosomal RNA
Rfam family: Bacterial small subunit ribosomal RNA
Source: RNAcentral